This 1388-nucleotide ribosomal RNA is filed under the name metagenome. RNAcentral's name for it is "bacterial LSU rRNA". It matches the Rfam family "Bacterial large subunit ribosomal RNA", at positions 1458 to 2851 of the family's 2925-position model. The record is from RNAcentral.
UGGGCGAUGGAGGGACGCAGGAGGCUAAGGAAUGCACACGAUCGGAAAUCUGUGUCCAAGCAGCAAGUCUGAGAACGAGUGAAAUGCUUUUUCUCUCAAGGACAAGCUGUGAUGGGGAGCGAAAUUUAGUAGCGAAGUUCCUGAUGUCACACUGCCAAGAAAAGCUUCUAGUGAGAAAGUAACUGCCCGUACCGCAAACCGACACAGGUAGUUGAGGAGAGAAUCCUAAGGUGUGCGAGAGAACUCUCGUUAAGGAACUCGGCAAAAUGACCCCGUAACUUCGGGAGAAGGGGUGCUGACCGCAAGGUCAGCCGCAGUGAAUAGGCCCAAGCGACUGUUUAUCAAAAACACAGGUCUCUGCAAAAUCGAAAGAUGACGUAUAGGGGCUGACGCCUGCCCGGUGCUGGAAGGUUAAGAGGAGAGGUUAGCGCAAGCGAAGCUUUGAAUUGAAGCCCCAGUAAACGGCGGCCGUAACUAUAACGGUCCUAAGGUAGCGAAAUUCCUUGUCGGGUAAGUUCCGACCCGCACGAAAGGCGUAACGAUUUGGGCACUGUCUCAACGAGAGACUCGGUGAAAUUAUAGUACCAGUGAAGAUGCUGGUUACCCGCGACAGGACGGAAAGACCCCAUGGAGCUUUACUGCAGUUUGAUAUUGCGUGUUUGUAUCACAUGUACAGGAUAGGUAGGAGCCGAAGAUACCGGGACGCCAGUCUCGGAGGAGGCAACGGUGGGAUACUACCCUUGUGAUAUGACCACUCUAACCCGCUGCUCUUAGCGAGCAGGGAGACAGUGUCAGACGGGCAGUUUGACUGGGGCGGUCGCCUCCAAAAAUGUAACGGAGGCGCCCAAAGGUUCCCUCAGAAUGGUUGGAAAUCAUUCGUAGAGUGUAAAGGCAGAAGGGAGCUUGACUGCGAGACCUACAAGUCGAGCAGGGACGAAAGUCGGGCUUAGUGAUCCGGUGGUUCCGCAUGGAAGGGCCAUCGCUCAACGGAUAAAAGCUACCCUGGGGAUAACAGGCUUAUCUCCCCCAAGAGUUCACAUCGACGGGGAGGUUUGGCACCUCGAUGUCGGCUCAUCGCAUCCUGGGGCUGUAGUCGGUCCCAAGGGUUGGGCUGUUCGCCCAUUAAAGCGGUACGCGAGCUGGGUUCAGAACGUCGUGAGACAGUUCGGUCCCUAUCCGUCGCGGGCGUUGGAAAUUUGAGAGGAGCUGUCCUUAGUACGAGAGGACCGGGAUGGACACACCGCUGGUGUACCAGUUGUUCUGCCAAGAGCAUCGCUGGGUAGCUAUGUGUGGACGGGAUAAACGCUGAAAGCAUCUAAGCGUGAAGCCCCCCUCAAGAUGAGAUUUCCCAUCACUUUAAGUGAGUAAGACCCCUGAGAGAUGAUCAG